GAUGAACGCUGACAGAAUGCUUAACACAUGCAAGUCAACUUGAACUUCGGUUUGGGUGGCGGACGGGUGAGUCACGCGUAAAGAACUUGCCUCACAGCUAGGGACAACAUUUGGAAACGAAUGCUAAUACCUGAUAUUAUUAUUAUAUGUCAUCGUAUAAUUAUGAAAGCUAUAUGCGCUGUGAGAGAGCUUUGCGUCCCAUUAGCUAGUUGGAGAGGUAACAGCUCACCAAGGCGAUGAUGGGUAGCCGGCCUGAGAGGGUGAUCGGCCACAAGGGGACUGAGACACGGCCCUUACUCCGACGGGAGGCAGCAGGGGGGAAUAUUGGACAAUGGACCGAGAGUCUGAUACAGCAAUUCUGUGUGCACGAUGAAGUUUUUCGGAAUGUAAAGUGCUUUCAGUUGGGAAGAAAAAAAUGACGGUAACAACAGAAGAAGCGACGGCUAAAUACGUG
This 454-nucleotide ribosomal RNA is filed under the name uncultured bacterium. RNAcentral's name for it is "partial 16S ribosomal RNA". It matches the Rfam family "Bacterial small subunit ribosomal RNA", at positions 28 to 507 of the family's 1533-position model. The record is from RNAcentral.